AGUGAACGCUGGCGGUAGGCCUAACACAUGCAAGUCGAACGGCAGCACAGUAAGAGCUUGCUCUUACGGGUGGCGAGUGGCGGACGGGUGAGGAAUACAUCGGAACCUACUUUUUCGUGGGGGAUAACGUAGGGAAACUUACGCUAAUACCGCAUACGACCUACGGGUGAAAGCAGGGGAUCUUCGGACCUUGCGCGAUUGAAUGAGCCGAUGUCGGAUUAGCUAGUUGGCGGGGUAAAGGCCCACCAAGGCGGCGGUCCGUAGCUGGUGCGAGAGGAUGAUCAGCCACACUGGAACUGAGACACGACCCAGACACCUACGGGAGGCAGCAGUGGGGAAUAUUGGACAAUGGGCGCAAGCCUGAUCCAGCCGUACCGCGUGGGUGAAGAAGGCCUUCGGGUUGUAAAGCCCUUUUGUUGGGAAAGAAAAGCAGCAGGUUAAUACCCCGCUGUUCUGACGGUACCCAAAGAAUAAGCACCGGCUAACUUCGUG
This 492-nucleotide ribosomal RNA is filed under the name uncultured bacterium. RNAcentral's name for it is "partial 16S ribosomal RNA". It matches the Rfam family "Bacterial small subunit ribosomal RNA", at positions 29 to 507 of the family's 1533-position model. The record is from RNAcentral.